RNAcentral lists this ribosomal RNA (445 nucleotides) under uncultured bacterium. Its description in RNAcentral is "partial 16S ribosomal RNA". It matches the Rfam family "Bacterial small subunit ribosomal RNA", at positions 338 to 795 of the family's 1533-position model. The record is from RNAcentral.
CCUACGGGUGGCAGCAGUGGGGAAUAUUGGGCAAUGGGCGCAAGCCUGACCCAGCAACGCCGCGUGAAGGAAGAAGGCUUUCGGGUUGUAAACUUCUUUUCUCAGGGACGAAGCAAGUGACGGUACCUGAGGAAUAAGCCACGGCUAACUACGUGCCAGCAGCCGCGGUAAUACGUAGGUGGCAAGCGUUAUCCGGAUUUACUGGGUGUAAAGGGCGUGUAGGCGGGGACGCAAGUCAGAUGUGAAAACCACGGGCUCAACCUGUGGGCUGCAUUUGAAACUGUGUUGCUUGAGUGCUGGAGAGGAGUAUGCGGAAUGCGCGGUGUAGCGGUGAAAUGCAUAGAUAUCGCGCAGAACUCCGAUGGCGAAGGCAGCAUGCCGGCUCCACACUGACGCUGAGGCACGAAAGCGUGGGUAUCGAACAGGAUUAGAUACCCCUGUAGUC